This 479-nucleotide ribosomal RNA is filed under the name uncultured bacterium. RNAcentral describes it as "partial 16S ribosomal RNA". It matches the Rfam family "Bacterial small subunit ribosomal RNA", at positions 28 to 523 of the family's 1533-position model. The record is from RNAcentral.
GACGAACGCUGGCGGCGUGCUUAACACAUGCAAGUCGAGCGAUGAAGCACCUUCGGGUGUGAAUUAGCGGCGAACGGGUGAGGAACACGUGAGAAAUCUGCCUUCAACACUGGGAUAACUCCGGGAAACCGGGGCUAAUACCGGAUAUGAAACCUGCGGGCAUCCGCGGGUUUGGAAAGUUUUUCGGUUGAAGAUGAUCUCGCGGCCUAUCAGCUUGUUGGUGAGGUAAUGGCUUACCAAGGCGACGACGGGUAGCCGGCGUGAGAGGGCGACCGGACACACUGGGACUGAGACACGGCCCAGACUCCUACGGGAGGCAGCAGUGGGGAAUAUUGGGCAAUGGAGGAAACUCUGACCCAGCGACGCCGCGUGCGGGAUGAAGGCCUUCGGGUUGUAAACCGCUUUCAGCAGGGAAGAAGCGAAAGUGACGGUACCCGCAGAAGAAGCACCGGCUAACUAUGUGCCAGCAGCCGCGGUAA